This 497-nucleotide ribosomal RNA is filed under the name uncultured bacterium. RNAcentral describes it as "bacterial SSU rRNA". It matches the Rfam family "Bacterial small subunit ribosomal RNA", at positions 9 to 507 of the family's 1533-position model. The record is from RNAcentral.
GAGUUUGAUCCUGGCUCAGGAUGAACGCUAGCGGGAGGCCUAACACAUGCAAGCUGAGCGGUAUUUGUCUUUCGGGACAGAGAGAGCGGCGUACGGGUGCGUAACACGUGUGCAACCUGCCUUUAUCAGGAGGAUAGCCUUUCGAAAGGAAGAUUAAUACUCCAUAAUAUAUUAAUUGGCAUCAAUUGAUAUUGAAAACUCCGGUGGAUAAAGAUGGGCACGCGCAAGAUUAGAUAGUUGGUGAGGUAACGGCUCACCAAGUCGAUGAUCUUUAGGGGGCCUGAGAGGGUGAUCCCCCACACUGGUACUGAGACACGGACCAGACUCCUACGGGAGGCAGCAGUGAGGAAUAUUGGACAAUGGGUAGCGCCUGAUCCAGCCAUCCCGCGUGAAGGAUUAAGGACCUAUGGUUUGUAAACUUCUUUUGUACAGGGAUAAACCUACCCUCGUGAGGGUAGCUGAAGGUACUGUACGAAUAAGCACCGGCUAACUCCGUG